RNAcentral lists this ribosomal RNA (253 nucleotides) under uncultured bacterium. RNAcentral describes it as "partial 16S ribosomal RNA". It matches the Rfam family "Bacterial small subunit ribosomal RNA", at positions 524 to 776 of the family's 1533-position model. The record is from RNAcentral.
UACGUAGGGGGCGAGCGUUGUCCGGAUUUAUUGGGCGUAAAGAGCGUGUAGGCGGCCAGGUAGGUCUGCUGUGAAAACUCGAGGCUCAACCUCGAGACGUCGGCGGAAACCAUCUGGCUAGAGUCCGGAAGAGGAGAGUGGAAUUCCUGGUGUAGCGGUGAAAUGCGCAGAUAUCAGGAAGAACACCCGUGGCGAAGGCGGCUCUCUAGUACGGUACUGACGCUGAGACGCGAAAGCGUGGGGAGCGAACAGG